Molecule: ribosomal RNA, 528 nt
Filed under: uncultured bacterium
Lineage: Bacteria
Description: bacterial SSU rRNA
Rfam family: Bacterial small subunit ribosomal RNA
Source: RNAcentral
GUUGACAUCCAGAGAACUUAGCAGAGAUGCUUUGGUGCCUUCGGGAACUCUGAGACAGGUGCUGCAUGGCUGUCGUCAGCUCGUGUUGUGAAAUGUUGGGUUAAGUCCGCAACGAGCGCAACCCUUAUCCUUUGUUGCCAGCGGUUCGGCCGGGAACUCAAAGGAGACUGCCGGUGAUAAACCGGAGGAAGGUGGGGAUGACGUCAAGUCAUCAUGGCCCUUACGGCCAGGGCUACACACGUGCUACAAUGGCGCAUACAAAGAGAAGCGACCUCGCGAGAGCAAGCGGACCUCAUAAAGUGCGUCGUAGUCCGGAUUGGAGUCUGCAACUCGACUCCAUGAAGUCGGAAUCGCUAGUAAUCGUAGAUCAGAAUGCUACGGUGAAUACGUUCCCGGGCCUUGUACACACCGCCCGUCACACCAUGGGAGUGGGUUGCAAAAGAAGUAGGUAGCUUAACCUUCGGGAGGGCGCUUACCACUUUGUGAUUCAUGACUGGGGUGAAGUCGUAACAAGGUAAGCGUAGACGU